UUGGGGUCGAGUUGUAAUUUGCAGAGGGUGUUUCGGGCACGGUGCCGGUUUAAGUCCUUUGGAACAGGGCGUCAUAGAGGGUGAGAACCCCGUAUGUGACCGGUCGCCAAACCCAUGUGAAACCCCUUCGACGAGUCGAGUUGUUUGGGAAUGCAGCUCAAAAUGGGUGGUAAAUUUCAUCUAAAGCUAAAUAUUGGCCAGAGACCGAUAGCGCACAAGUAGAGUGAUCGAAAGAUGAAAAGCACUUUGGAAAGAGAGUCAAACAGCACGUGAAAUUGUUGAAAGGGAAGCGCUUGCGACCAGACCUGCUCGCGGGUGAUCAGCGGUGCUUUUCGCGCCGUGCACUCAUCCGCGAUCAGGCCAGCAUCGGUUCAGGCGGCCGGAUAAAGACUCGGAGAAUGUAGCUCCCUCCGGGGAGUGUUAUAGCUCCUUGUGCAAUACGGCCAGCCGGGACCGAGGACCGCGCUUCGGCUAGGAUGCUGGCGUAAUGGUCGUAAGCGACCCGUCUUGAAACACGGACCAAGGAGUCUAACAUCUGUGCGAGUGUUUGGGCGUCAAACCCAUGCGCGCAAUGAAAGUGAACGUGAGGUGGGAACCCUUUCGGGGGCGCACCAUCGACCGAUCCAGAUGUCUUCGGAUGGAUUUGAGUAAGAGCACAGCUGUUGGGACCCGAAAGAUGGUGAACUAUGCCUGAAUAGGGUGAAGCCAGAGGAAACUCUGGUGGAGGCUCGCAGCGGUUCUGACGUGCAAAUCGAUCGUCAAAUUUGGGUAUAGGGGCGAAAGACUAAUCGA
Molecule: ribosomal RNA, 792 nt
Filed under: Psora decipiens
Lineage: Eukaryota; Fungi; Ascomycota; Lecanoromycetes; Lecanorales; Psoraceae
Description: LSU rRNA
Rfam family: Eukaryotic large subunit ribosomal RNA
Source: RNAcentral